Perca flavescens (yellow perch) is the source of this 388-nucleotide long non-coding RNA. RefSeq lists it as uncharacterized. The transcript has 3 exons. The record is from RefSeq and is a predicted model, not a curated record. Lineage: Eukaryota; Metazoa; Chordata; Actinopteri; Perciformes; Percidae.
UUGUCCUCGAAGACUCCUCCCCAGUACAGCUGUAUGAGACGGUGUGCUCGUGUGCUGCUGGCAAGGCACUUUGCAACCAUACCGUGGCUCUCCUUUUUCAGACUACUCUCAGCUCCACCUCCUUGCUGUACCCCCAGUCCUUAGCUGCACUGAGACAGAGCAACGCUGGCACAAGCCAAGGACUAUGGGUGUAAAACCAGGCCGGGUCAGUGAUAUGGUUGUGAUGUCUGCCAAGCCCAAACAAAGGACAGUUGCCAGUGGUUUCAGGAGCACUCUCUACAAGGCGACGCGGGGGGAUAUGCCUGAUCCUGAUGUUUUGAAAGUGACAGAAGCAUAUGAAGGCUUUUCACCUGACAUAGCACCCCUUAUUACCACCAUGUCCAUCAGU